AUGAACGCUGGCGGCGUGCCUCAUACAUGCAAGUCGAGCGAACAGACGAGGAGCUUGCUCCUCUGACGUUAGCGGCGGACGGGUGAGUAACACGUGGAUAACCUACCUAUAAGACUGGGAUAACUUCGGGAAACCGGAGCUAAUACCGGAUAAUAUAUUGAACCGCAUGGUUCAAUAGUGAAAGACGGUUUUGCUGUCACUUAUAGAGGGAUCCGCGCCGCAUUAGCUAGUUGGUAAGGUAACGGCUUACCAAGGCGACGAUGCGUAGCCGACCUGAGAGGGUGAUCGGCCACACUGGAACUGAGACACGGUCCAGACUCCUACGGGAGGCAGCAGUAGGGAAUCUUCCGCAAUGGGCGAAAGCCUGACGGAGCAACGCCGCGUGAGUGAUGAAGGUCUUCGGAUCGUAAAACUCUGUUAUUAGGGAAGAACAAAUGUGUAAGUAACUAUGCACGUCUUGACGGUACCUAAUCAGAAAGCCACGGCUAACUACGUG
This 496-nucleotide ribosomal RNA is filed under the name uncultured bacterium. RNAcentral describes it as "partial 16S ribosomal RNA". It matches the Rfam family "Bacterial small subunit ribosomal RNA", at positions 29 to 507 of the family's 1533-position model. The record is from RNAcentral.